RNAcentral lists this ribosomal RNA (497 nucleotides) under uncultured bacterium. RNAcentral's name for it is "partial 16S ribosomal RNA". It matches the Rfam family "Bacterial small subunit ribosomal RNA", at positions 28 to 507 of the family's 1533-position model. The record is from RNAcentral.
GAUGAACGCUGGCGGCGUGCCUAAUACAUGCAAGUCGAGCGAACAGAUGAGGAGCUUGCUCCUCUGACGUUAGCGGCGGACGGGUGAGUAACACGUGGAUAACCUACCUAUAAGACUGGGAUAACUUCGGGAAACCGGAGCUAAUACCGGAUAAUAUAUUGAACCGCAGGGUUCAAUAGUGAAAGACGGUUUUGCUGUCACUUAUAGAUGGAUCCGCGCCGCAUUAGCUAGUUGGUAAGGUAACGGCUUACCAAGGCAACGAUGCGUAGCCGACCUGAGAGGGUGAUCAGCCACACUGGAACUGAGACACGGUCCAGACUCCUACGGGAGGCAGCAGUAGGGAAUCUUCCGCAAUGGGCGAAAGCCUGACGGAGCCACACCGCGUGAGUGAUGAAGGUCUUCGGAUCGUAAAACUCUGUUAUUAGGGAAGAACAACUGUGUAAGUAACUAUGCACGUCUUGACGGUACCUAAUCAGAAAGCCACGGCUAACUACGUG